RNAcentral lists this ribosomal RNA (253 nucleotides) under uncultured bacterium. RNAcentral describes it as "partial 16S ribosomal RNA". It matches the Rfam family "Bacterial small subunit ribosomal RNA", at positions 524 to 776 of the family's 1533-position model. The record is from RNAcentral.
UACGUAGGGGGCGAGCGUUGUCCGGAAUUAUUGGGCGUAAAGAGCUCGUAGGCGGUUUGUUGCGUCCGCCGUGAAAACCUGCAGCUUAACUGUGGGCCUGCGGCCGAUACGGGCAGACUUGAGUUCGGUAGGGGAGACUGGAAUUCCUGGUGUAGCGGUGAAAUGCGCAGAUAUCAGGAGGAACACCGGUGGCGAAGGCGGGUCGCUGGGCCGAUACUGACGCUGAGGAGCGAAAGCGUGGGGAGCGAACAGG